CACCGCGGUUAGACGAGAGGCCCUAGUUGAUAAUAUAACGGCGUAAAGGGUGGUUAAGGAUAAAAAACAAUAAAGCCAAAUGGCCCUUCGGCCGUCAUACGCUUCUAGGAGCCCGAAGCCCUACACACGAAAGUAGCUUUAAUAAAACCAACCUGACCCCACGAAAACUAAGAAA
This 175-nucleotide ribosomal RNA is filed under the name Hampala macrolepidota (Hampala barb). RNAcentral describes it as "partial 12S rRNA". The record is from RNAcentral. Lineage: Eukaryota; Metazoa; Chordata; Actinopteri; Cypriniformes; Cyprinidae.